ACAGUCUCUGACUUUCUCCACUCCGUCCCUGCCAGCAGCCCCUGUUCUACCUCUAUGCCAUGAGCACACAUGGGGAUACCGUCGUGCACAGGGGGUACCAUCCUGCAUGGGAGGUGCCAUCGUGCAUGGGUGGUACUGUCCUGCACAGGGAGUACCAUCCUGCACGGGGGGUACUGUCCUUUGCUGGGGAUACCGUCAUGCAUGGGGGGAUACCAUCCUGCACAGGGGGUACCAUCCUGCAUGAGGGUUACUGUCCUGCACGGGGGGUACCAUCAUGCAUGGGGGUACCAUCGUGUACUGGGGAUACCAUCCUGCAUGGGGGGUACCAUCCUGUACAGGGGUUACCAUCCUUCACUUGUUGUAUGGUCCCGCACCGAGGGUACUGUUCUGCACAGUGUACUGUUCUACAUGAGGGGUACCAUCCUGCACAGGGGCUACCAUUCUACACUGGGGGUACCAUCCUGUACAAGGGGUACUGUUCUGCAUGAGGGGUACUGUUCUACGCCAGGGGUAUUGUCCUACACCAUAUUCAGGACUUGAAUUCAGCUCUGGAUCAAGUGGACCUAGUAGACAUCUACGGAAUUCUUUACCCAAAGUCAACAGAAUAUACAUUCUUCCCAGUGCCACGUAGCACUUAUUCUAAAAUCAACCACAUAAUUGGAAGUAAAACACUCCUCAGCAAAUGCAAAAGAUUGGAAAUAAUAACAAACAGUCUCUCAGACAACAGUGCAAUCAAAUUAGAACUCAGGAUUAAGAAACUCACUCAAAACCACAUAAUUACAUGGAAACUGAACAACCUGCUCCUGAAUGACUCCUGGGUAAAUAGUGAAAUUAAGGCAGACAUCAAGAAGUUCUUUGAAACCAAUGAGAACAAAGAGACAACAUACCAGAAUCUCUACAACACAGCUAAAGCAGUGUUAAGAGGAAAAUUUAUAGUGCUAAAUGCUCUCAUCAAAAAGCUAGAAAGAUCUCAAAUCGACAUCCUAACAUCACAAUUAAAAGAGCUAGAGAGACAAAAGCAAACUAAUCCAAAAGCUAGCAGAAGACAAGAAACAACUAAGAUCAGAGAAGAAUUGAAGGAGAUAGAGACACAAAAAAUACCCCAAAAAAAUCAAUGAAUCCAGGAGCUAGUUUUUUGAAAACAAAAAAAAAAAAAUAUAUAUAUAUAGCCCCAAAAUUUCUUGAACUGAUAAUCAACUUCAUUGAAGUCUAAGGAUACAAAAUCAAUAUGCAAAAAUCACAAUGAUUCCUUUACAUCCACACUAGGCAAGCAGAGAGCCAAAUCAUAAAUGAACUCCCAUUAACAAUUUCUACAAAGAAAAUAAAAUACCUAGAAAUACAGCUAACAAGGGAUGUGAAGGACCUCUUCAAGGAGAACUACAAACCACUGCUCAAGGAAAUAAGAGAAGAUGGCAAUCAUUAAAAAGUCAGGAAACAACAGGUGCUGGAGAGGAUGUGGAGAAAUAGGAACACUUUUACACUGUUGGUGGGACUGUAAACUAGUUCAACCAUUGUGGAAGUCAGUGUGGCGAUUCCUCAGGGAUCUAGAACUAGAAAUACCAUUUGACCCAGCAAUCCCAUUACUAGGUAUAUACCCAAAGGAUUAUGCUACUAUAUGACACUUUAUGCUGCUAUAAAGACACAUGCACACGUAUGUUUAUUGCAGCACUAUUCACAAUAGCAAAGACUUGAAACCAAGCCAAAUGUCCAAAAAUAAUAGACUGGAUUAAGAAAAUAUGGCACAUUUACACCAUGGAAUACUAUGCAGCCAUAAAAAAUGAUGAGUUCAUAUCCUUUGUAGGGACAUGAAUGAAGGUGGAAACCAUCAUUCUCAGCAAACUAUCGCAAGGACAAAAAACCAAAUACUGCAUGUUCUCACUCAUAGGUGGGAAUUGAACAAUGAGAACACAUGGACACAGGAAGGGGAACAUCACACACUGGGGCCUGAUGUGGGGUGGGGGGAGGGGGGAGGGAUAGCAUUAGUAGACAUACCUAAUGUUAAAUGAUGAGUUAAUGGGUGCAGCACACCAACAUGGCACAUGUAUACAUAUGUAACUAACCUGCAGGUUGUGCACAUGUACCCUAAAACUUAAAGUAUAAUAAAAAAAUAAAAAAUAAAAAUAAAAAAAAGAGAAGAUGCAAACAAACGGAAAAACAUUCCAUGCUAAUGGAUAGAAAGAAUCAAUUUUGUGAAAAUGGCCAUACUGCCCAAAGUAAUUUCUAGAUUCAAUGCUAUUCCCAUCAAACUACCAUUGACAUUCUUCACAGAAUUAGAAAAAACUAUUUUAAAUUUCAUGUGGAAUCAAAGAAGACCCCAUAUAGCCAAGAUAAUCCUAGUCAAAAAGAACAAACCUGGAGGCAUCAUGCUACCUGACUUCAAACUGUACUACAAGGCUACAGUAACCAAAACAGCAUGGUACUGGUACAAAAACGGACAUAUAGACCAAUGGAGCA
RNAcentral lists this long non-coding RNA (2454 nucleotides) under Homo sapiens (human). RNAcentral describes it as "non-protein coding lnc-RNASEH1-9:1". The record is from RNAcentral. Lineage: Eukaryota; Metazoa; Chordata; Mammalia; Primates; Hominidae.